CAAAAUGUGGCGUCUGUCUAGCGGUAUUAAAGUUUACGUAUAUUUAAAUAGUUUUCUGAUAAUUUAUAUACUAAAUGUCUGGAUAUGGUGUGUAGUGUAGUGAUUGUAAUGUGGUUAUACAAGGCCUGAGACUAGGUUUGUGAUAUAAUUAGAAUUGACAAUGUCGAAUGAAAUGGCGGUUGGUGAUAAGGUGUCAAAGGAUGCUACUGUUUGUAGUGAUGAGGUUGUAGAAGAGGCUACACAUACUGAACAGGUUUCACAACCCUCCUCAGUCCUCAGAUGCUUUGAUGGAGGGAUCUAAUCAAGAAGCCAAGCCUGGUUUGUAUGUUGGCCAAAACAUAACCUAACAUAUCUGUUGACAUCUUGAUCAUUAUUUAGUAAUAGCAAAAAUUUAUCCUAACAUUGUAUAAAUAUAAUGUUAAUAUUCAUCAGCUAUCAUGGUAUUGGUUAUAUGUGAAUUAUGGCAUAAAGAAACAACUUUAACCCAAAAUCUGUCUUCACUAAAAGAGGAUUUGGCCAAGGCCGAUCAAGCUCUGUGGUCUAGAGAGCCAAUAUUAAACGGACGAGACAGUGUCCGCAAAGUGCUCGAGACAUUCCAGGAGCGAGGUGGGGAAUGGGCUGGGAUCGCGACUCAGAAUUCUACUAAAUUAUGCAUGAAGAAAAUGCACUUAACCACUCUAUAUACAUAUCGUCUUCCGACGCUCUGCAGGGCCGCGCCGACUCCCGGCAGCGCCUGUGUGCGAAACCCAUGAAGCGCCUCCAGCAAGCGGGUUCCCCGUAUCAGUGCGCUGCUCGAGUCGACGACGCGAGAGCACGUUUAAUAUUUUUUUAAAUCAUUCUGUCAUAUGUCAUUGUAUUAAGUCAAUAUUAAUAAAUAGUGGUGUUCUGUAAAA
This is a long non-coding RNA of Pieris napi, 893 nucleotides long. RefSeq lists it as uncharacterized. The transcript is spliced from 3 exons. The record is from RefSeq and is a predicted model, not a curated record. NCBI's taxonomy places the organism in Eukaryota, Metazoa, Arthropoda, Insecta, Lepidoptera, Pieridae.